Molecule: ribosomal RNA, 2924 nt
Filed under: Escherichia coli
Lineage: Bacteria; Pseudomonadati; Pseudomonadota; Gammaproteobacteria; Enterobacterales; Enterobacteriaceae
Description: 23S ribosomal RNA
Rfam family: Bacterial large subunit ribosomal RNA
Source: RNAcentral
GGGUUGUGAGGUUAAGCGACUAAGCGUACACGGUGGAUGCCCUGGCAGUCAGAGGCGAUGAAGGACGUGCUAAUCUGCGAUAAGCGUCGGUAAGGUGAUAUGAACCGUUAUAACCGGCGAUUUCCGAAUGGGGAAACCCAGUGUGUUUCGACACACUAUCAUUAACUGAAUCCAUAGGUUAAUGAGGCGAACCGGGGGAACUGAAACAUCUAAGUACCCCGAGGAAAAGAAAUCAACCGAGAUUCCCCCAGUAGCGGCGAGCGAACGGGGAGCAGCCCAGAGCCUGAAUCAGUAUGUGUGUUAGUGGAAGCGUCUGGAAAGGCGCGCGAUACAGGGUGACAGCCCCGUACACAAAAAUGCACAUAUUGUGAGCUCGAUGAGUAGGGCGGGACACGUGGUAUCCUGUCUGAAUAUGGGGGGACCAUCCUCCAAGGCUAAAUACUCCUGACUGACCGAUAGUGAACCAGUACCGUGAGGGAAAGGCGAAAAGAACCCCGGCGAGGGGAGUGAAAAAGAACCUGAAACCGUGUACGUACAAGCAGUGGGAGCACGCUUCGGCGUGUGACUGCGUACCUUUUGUAUAAUGGGUCAGCGACUUAUAUUCUGUAGCAAGGUUAACCGAAUAGGGGAGCCGAAGGGAAACCGAGUCUUAACUGGGCGUUAAGUUGCAGGGUAUAGACCCGAAACCCGGUGAUCUAGCCAUGGGCAGGUUGAAGGUUGGGUAACACUAACUGGAGGACCGAACCGACUAAUGUUGAAAAAUUAGCGGAUGACUUGUGGCUGGGGGUGAAAGGCCAAUCAAACCGGGAGAUAGCUGGUUCUCCCCGAAAGCUAUUUAGGUAGCGCCUCGUGAACUCAUCUCCGGGGGUAGAGCACUGUUUCGGCAAGGGGGUCAUCCCGACUUACCAACCCGAUGCAAACUGCGAAUACCGGAGAAUGUUAUCACGGGAGACACACGGCGGGUGCUAACGUCCGUCGUGAAGAGGGAAACAACCCAGACCGCCAGCUAAGGUCCCAAAGUCAUGGUUAAGUGGGAAACGAUGUGGGAAGGCCCAGACAGCCAGGAUGUUGGCUUAGAAGCAGCCAUCAUUUAAAGAAAGCGUAAUAGCUCACUGGUCGAGUCGGCCUGCGCGGAAGAUGUAACGGGGCUAAACCAUGCACCGAAGCUGCGGCAGCGACACUAUGUGUUGUUGGGUAGGGGAGCGUUCUGUAAGCCUGUGAAGGUGUGCUGUGAGGCAUGCUGGAGGUAUCAGAAGUGCGAAUGCUGACAUAAGUAACGAUAAAGCGGGUGAAAAGCCCGCUCGCCGGAAGACCAAGGGUUCCUGUCCAACGUUAAUCGGGGCAGGGUGAGUCGACCCCUAAGGCGAGGCCGAAAGGCGUAGUCGAUGGGAAACAGGUUAAUAUUCCUGUACUUGGUGUUACUGCGAAGGGGGGACGGAGAAGGCUAUGUUGGCCGGGCGACGGUUGUCCCGGUUUAAGCGUGUAGGCUGGUUUUCCAGGCAAAUCCGGAAAAUCAAGGCUGAGGCGUGAUGACGAGGCACUACGGUGCUGAAGCAACAAAUGCCCUGCUUCCAGGAAAAGCCUCUAAGCAUCAGGUAACAUCAAAUCGUACCCCAAACCGACACAGGUGGUCAGGUAGAGAAUACCAAGGCGCUUGAGAGAACUCGGGUGAAGGAACUAGGCAAAAUGGUGCCGUAACUUCGGGAGAAGGCACGCUGAUAUGUAGGUGAGGUCCCUCGCGGAUGGAGCUGAAAUCAGUCGAAGAUACCAGCUGGCUGCAACUGUUUAUUAAAAACACAGCACUGUGCAAACACGAAAGUGGACGUAUACGGUGUGACGCCUGCCCGGUGCCGGAAGGUUAAUUGAUGGGGUCAGCGCAAGCGAAGCUCUUGAUCGAAGCCCCGGUAAACGGCGGCCGUAACUAUAACGGUCCUAAGGUAGCGAAAUUCCUUGUCGGGUAAGUUCCGACCUGCACGAAUGGCGUAAUGAUGGCCAGGCUGUCUCCACCCGAGACUCAGUGAAAUUGAACUCGCUGUGAAGAUGCAGUGUACCCGCGGCAAGACGGAAAGACCCCGUGAACCUUUACUAUAGCUUGACACUGAACAUUGAGCCUUGAUGUGUAGGAUAGGUGGGAGGCUUUGAAGUGUAGACGCCAGUCUGCAUGGAGCCGACCUUGAAAUACCACCCUUUAAUGUUUGAUGUUCUAACGUUGACCCGUAAUCCGGGUUGCGGACAGUGUCUGGUGGGUAGUUUGACUGGGGCGGUCUCCUCCUAAAGAGUAACGGAGGAGCACGAAGGUUGGCUAAUCCUGGUCGGACAUCAGGAGGUUAGUGCAAUGGCAUAAGCCAGCUUGACUGCGAGCGUGACGGCGCGAGCAGGUGCGAAAGCAGGUCAUAGUGAUCCGGUGGUUCUGAAUGGAAGGGCCAUCGCUCAACGGAUAAAAGGUACUCCGGGGAUAACAGGCUGAUACCGCCCAAGAGUUCAUAUCGACGGCGGUGUUUGGCACCUCGAUGUCGGCUCAUCACAUCCUGGGGCUGAAGUAGGUCCCAAGGGUAUGGCUGUUCGCCAUUUAAAGUGGUACGCGAGCUGGGUUUAGAACGUCGUGAGACAGUUCGGUCCCUAUCUGCCGUGGGCGCUGGAGAACUGAGGGGGGCUGCUCCUAGUACGAGAGGACCGGAGUGGACGCAUCACUGGUGUUCGGGUUGUCAUGCCAAUGGCACUGCCCGGUAGCUAAAUGCGGAAGAGAUAAGUGCUGAAAGCAUCUAAGCACGAAACUUGCCCCGAGAUGAGUUCUCCCUGACCCUUUAAGGGUCCUGAAGGAACGUUGAAGACGACGACGUUGAUAGGCCGGGUGUGUAAGCGCAGCGAUGCGUUGAGCUAACCGGUACUAAUGAACCGUGAGGCUUAACCUUACAACGCCGAAG